RNAcentral lists this ribosomal RNA (746 nucleotides) under uncultured Chloroflexota bacterium. RNAcentral's name for it is "bacterial SSU rRNA". It matches the Rfam family "Bacterial small subunit ribosomal RNA", at positions 8 to 796 of the family's 1533-position model. The record is from RNAcentral. Lineage: Bacteria; Bacillati; Chloroflexota.
AGAGUUUGAUCCUGGCUCAGGAUGAACGCUGGCGGCGUGCCUAACACAUGCAAGUCGAACGGUGCCUUCGGGCACAGUGGCGAACGGGUGCGUAACACGUAGACAACCUACCCCGGAGUGGGGGAUAACCACUGGAAACGGUGGCUAAUACCCCGUACGCUCGUGAGAGGAAAGGAGCAAUCCGCUCUGGGAGGGGUCUGCGGCCUAUCAGCUAGUUGGUGAGGUAACGGCUCACCAAGGCGAUGACGGGUAGCUGGCCUGAGAGGGUGGUCAGCCACAUGGGGACUGAGAGACGGCCCCAACUCCUACGGGAGGCAGCAGUGAGGAAUAUUGCCCAAUGGGGGAAACCCUGAGGCAGCAACGCCGCGUGGAGGAAGACGUCCUUCGGGAUGUAAACUCCUUUUCAGGGGGAGCAGAAAGGAGCGUACCCCUGGAAGAAGUCACGGCUAACUACGUGCCAGCAGCCGCGGUAACACGUAGGUGACAAGCGUUAUCCGGAUUUACUGGGCGUAAAGGGUCCGUAGGUGGUCUGGGAGGUCUGGUGUGAAAUUCCCCGGCUCAACUGGGGGGAGCCACUGGAAACCUGCAGACUGGAGUCACACAGAGGUCACUCGAAUUCCCGGUGUAGUGGUGGAAUGCGUAGAGAUCGGGAGGAAGACCAGAGGCGCAAGCGGGUGACUGGGUGUUGACUGACACUGAGGGACGAAAGCGUGGGGAGCAAACAGGAUUAGAUACCCCGGUAGUCC